AGGGGGAGGGGGAGUGAGUGUGCGACCCCCAAACAAAGAAGGGGGGUGACGCAGAGAAAGGCCCGCUAGCGACUCCCAAACGCAAAACCUCUGAAGAAAAAGAAAAAAAAAAACCCAUACAUUUGUCUAAGAAAAUGAAAAUCCGGCGGACAAAAAUAUGUAUGUUGAAGUUAAAGACAAACGAGAAAGUGGGAGACGAGACUUUUCCGCCUGGGACACAUGAAAGACACGGGGCUAACUUCCCUAAUAAACGAAGACCUCUUGGAAACCGAUACGGUAAAGACCAAACUAAGCCAGAAAAUUGGGCAAAAAGGGAAGAAACUGGCAAUUCACAGGAAAAUACAAAUGGCUGACAGACCUACAGGACAAAACUCACGACCUGACUCCCAAAGAAACGUAAAACCGAGAGCCCGGACCAGCACGGUUUAGCGGAUGCUCUCCUGAGGCGGCCUCGCGCGUCGCCGCCUGGGACAGGCUGGGUCAGUCCCACCCGUGGCCACCCGGACCGUCGGCCAUGCAGGGCACACAGACGCGUGAGGAAACCCGUAUGCGGCGGGAAACGACGAGGUAGCGCCGCUCGGGACGAACGACGGCCGAGGACUCAAUAGAGUUAGUCAAACACUCAAGUGGCCGAAGUUUGUAGACAUGACCCGCUCCAUAAGCAAGGACCUGCCUUGAUUUUGUUCUUCAAAGCAUCCCCAGCAACUGGUGCAAAGUGAAUCCUCCGUUUGUGUAUCUCAAAUGUGGGUGUGUUAUUGUCUUCAAGGAAAAGACCGGCAGCCUGGGACCAAGAGAAUCCAGGGGCGAGUUCCCAGUGAGACAACUGUCCCGUGCAUCACCUCCAAGGCCUCCCACAUCCUAUACAGGUCGUGGAGAGGACCCGUAGGGACAGGUGAAAGGAGCCCUCUGGCUAUGUCAUGGAGGUGAAGCUGCAGAGCAGAAGCCAGACUUGUGGGGUCACCGCCCCGCCCCUCCCCCGCCUCCCACCUCACCAGCAUCCUUCUCACAUGUAACUUCCUUUGGUCUCGGAAGAAGGUACAGGUUUGAACUAAAGCGUCCGCUCAGCCCUCAGAAGAAACGUGUUUCCAUGAGGCUGCACCAUGGUCCUCAACCAGGGUGGCUGUGCCCCCAGGAAACAUUUGGA
Long non-coding RNA from Globicephala melas (long-finned pilot whale), 1144 nucleotides. RefSeq lists it as uncharacterized. NCBI's taxonomy places the organism in Eukaryota, Metazoa, Chordata, Mammalia, Artiodactyla, Delphinidae. The record is from RefSeq and is a predicted model, not a curated record.